This 98-nucleotide ribosomal RNA is filed under the name Aphelenchoides paradalianensis. Its description in RNAcentral is "partial 28S ribosomal RNA". It matches the Rfam family "Eukaryotic large subunit ribosomal RNA", at positions 1 to 98 of the family's 3401-position model. The record is from RNAcentral. Lineage: Eukaryota; Metazoa; Nematoda; Chromadorea; Rhabditida; Aphelenchoididae.
UCCACCUGAGUUGCGUAUGACUACCUGCCGAACUUAAGCAUAUCAGUAAGCAGAGGAAAAGAAACUAACAAGGAUUCCCUUAGUAACGGCGAGUGAAA